CGUGAGAUGUUGGGUUAAGUCCCGCAACGAGCGCAACCCCUAUUGUUAGUUGCCAUCAUUCAGUUGGGCACUCUAGCGAGACUGCCGGUAAUAAACCGGAGGAAGGUGGGGAUGACGUCAAAUCAUCAUGCCCCUUAUGACCUGGGCUACACACGUGCUACAAUGGUUGGUACAACGAGUUGCGAGUCGGUGACGGCGAGCUAAUCUCUUAAAGCCAAUCUCAGUUCGGAUUGUAGGCUGCAACUCGCCUACAUGAAGUC
This 260-nucleotide ribosomal RNA is filed under the name uncultured bacterium. Its description in RNAcentral is "partial 16S ribosomal RNA". It matches the Rfam family "Bacterial small subunit ribosomal RNA", at positions 1066 to 1327 of the family's 1533-position model. The record is from RNAcentral.